RNAcentral lists this ribosomal RNA (253 nucleotides) under uncultured bacterium. RNAcentral describes it as "partial 16S ribosomal RNA". It matches the Rfam family "Bacterial small subunit ribosomal RNA", at positions 524 to 776 of the family's 1533-position model. The record is from RNAcentral.
UACGUAGGGGGCAAGCGUUAUCCGGAUUUACUGGGUGUAAAGGGAGCGUAGACGGCGAUGCAAGCCAGACGUGAAAGCCCGGGGCUCAACCCCGGGACUGCAUUUGGAACUGUAUAGCUAGAGUGUCGGAGAGGCAGGCGGAACUCCUAGAGUAGCGGUGAAAUGCGUAGAUAUUAGGAGGAACACCAGUGGCGAAGGCGGCCUGCUGGACGAUGACUGACGUUGAGGCUCGAAAGCGUGGGGAGCAAACAGG